GUGCAAAGCUCGGAGUGCGGAAGGGUCCCCGAAACCAGGACUCCACUUCGGGCUCGGUGUGAGCAGCGUCGCCCGGGCAUCCUGUCAAGACCCAUCCCGACUCCGGGUGAGGCGGCCCCGCUUCCAGCCAAGCGCCGACACCCCUCCCGGCCGGCCGAGUGAGGGGCCGCUCGCCCGGGAGAAGGCUUGGCGCUUGGGGGACGAUCCCCCAAAGCCGGCGCGGGGAUACCCCCAGGCCUGGCAGGGCCAGGGGCACCGGCGCCUCGCUCACCUGUGUCCGUGGGGAGGCGGCUGCCUGUCAAACUACACAUUUCCCAGGCUCCCUUGCAGCUAUGGCAACCACAUGCACAGUCCUGAUCAAUGAGAGGGCAGCAGAGGUGGGGCAUCCAGAGGGCUCUUAAAACAGGGCAGCCCCUGGCCCGGGAGUGGUGGCUCACACCCAUAAUCCCAGCACUUUGGGAGACCAAGGCCAGCGGAUCACCAGGUCAGGAGUUUGAGACCAGCCUGCCCAAUAUGGCAAAACCCCGUCUCUACUAAAAAUACAAAAAUUAGCCAGGUGUGGUGGUAGGCACCUGUAAUCCCAGCUACUCAGGAGGUUGAGGAAGGAGAAUCACUUGAACCUGGGAGGCAGAGGCUGCAAUGAGCCGAGAUCGUGCCACUGCACUCCAGCCUGGGUGACAAGAGCAAGACUCCAUCUCAAAAAACAAAACAAAACAAGAACGGGGCAGCCCCGGCCCUUCCCCAUCCCUCCUCUUCUUGACUCAGUAAGGCUGUGGUGGUCAGCUUGGGAUCAUAAGGUGGCCAUGAAGAAAAGUCCUGGAAACCUCAGAUCCAACUCCCUUGAGCUGCCAAAGCAAUUCUCACCACGUGGGAGAAAUUCAGCUCUCAGACUGUCCUCCAAUUUCCCACCUGUGGUCAAUGGCAGGCACCCCUUCUGCCAAGAAGCUACCAUGACCACCACAUUCAAGUUAAACCUGGACCUCCCACCAUCCCCAGUCAGGCCAAUGAGACAGUGGGGAAACAGGCCUGGUAAGGAUACUUCCUGCUAGUUUUCUUGCCUUCUCAGCCUAGGGUGUGGGUGUGGCUGGGACUGGCUGUGAGGCUCCUAUUUAUAAGGCAAGCACCCAUUUUCUCAUGGAUUCUACCAUUUUAUAUCCCGUGGAGCCAGUCAAGAUGGCUGCUCUAUUUUCAGUUAGUUUUUUGGGGGCAAUGGAUGGGCAGGGGAUUGACCUGACAGAGACCCACUCCCUCAUUCCUUCAUUACUCAUCGGCUCUGCUGGCCAGGGAUGUGGGGUUCUCCACCUGCUCAAAGUCAAAAAGCUUUCUCCAGGUUUUUUAACAGCUUGUACUUUAUUACAUAUGCAACCUUGCCAUGCCUGCCAGUUAACUCCCCUCCCGC
Molecule: long non-coding RNA, 1399 nt
Filed under: Homo sapiens (human)
Lineage: Eukaryota; Metazoa; Chordata; Mammalia; Primates; Hominidae
Description: HSALNT0282500
Source: RNAcentral